CGGGAGGGAGAUUUUUAUUUACAUGCCUUUGUAUAUGUUUGAAUUUGAAUGAUUGAAUGUAUUUUUUGUUUUAAAAAUAAAAAUAAGGAUAAAUUUAAAAAUUGACAGAGGGACUAGCCAAAAAAAAAAAAAAAAAGCUAUACAAAGUAGGAUAGAGCCAUAGCUCUGUGUCAGCGCCUCUGAGACCCGGAAGCAGGUUAUCCAAACGUAGAACGAACGAUCUCAUGUGAACAGUGGACUCACAGUAGUGAGCAAAUCAAUCUUCAUUGUGUUAUUCCUUGUUGAAAUCCAACAGCAUUAUUAGGAAGUGUACUGUUACCAGAAUGGGUAAAGUUGACUGUCGAGAAAUGUAUGACCAAACCAUAGUCUUGUUUUCUGUGGUACAGGUUACUCUUUUGUCUUCCUCCCUGCCCUGUGAAACCUUCCACAAUGCUCUGAUCCCUGUGUCUGUUCCCUUCUCUGCACCCCUGUCACUUCUGUGAUGACAUUUAGCAACUAAGCACGCAUGGAUCCUGGGCUGAGAUGGAUUUCUUUUUCCUACCACUUAGAUUUCAAGUGUGUAUUCUGCUCUAGGUAUGGUACUAUAACUGGCCGUUACGUACAUUAUUUUAUCUACAGAACUCAAUUACAAAACCACUUUACAAACAAGGAAACUGAGGCUUCCAGACAUUCCGUGACAGUCGCAACAGCCAGAAAGAGGCAGAGUUGGGAUUUGAACCCAGGUCAACUGACCCCACAGCUUGGGUUACUCCUAUUUGAGAACAGAGGCACAAGUGCUUGAGCCGAGGAGGAGGUGGCGGUGAUAUUCCCUCUGAGGACCAGCCCUGUCCCCUGUCCUCACUGCCUCGGGACCCGGCCGUGAUCGAGGCCUGGGAAGUAAGUGCAGGAGGACUGUGCUUGGAGAACAGGACCUCUGGGACUCGCCAGGUUUGUGAAUCACACUAAAUUUCAUCUUAUGAAAGAAACGAAAGGCCAAGACUCUGCGUUCGCACCACCAGCACAAGCAGUGGGCCUUCUUGUGAGGGCUGUUUUCCACAAAGACAGACCUGUGUUCUGGUUCCAGGAGAACAGAAGUGUCGGCUGCAGGAGGACCGGCUCUGCUCAGCUGCGGGCCUGCUUCCACGCAGCCCGCCCAAUUCAAAUCAGCACCUGGGCAGCAGGACCCACGGUCACACGUCACUCCCUACCCAGCCCUUUGUGAUCAGCCAUCGUUUUGACUGUCAAAUCCACAUAUGCCAGGUUGCUGCUGUGUGUUCUCCCUAAACACAACUGGCAGAGUUUGAAAGGCACAAGCUGAGCUCCAGGAAUCAAGAGGAAAGCUGGCCUCCGAGUGGAUGGCCAAGGGGGUCUCACAGGUCAAGACCAGGAACUCACCAUCAUGGAAGCUGUUGGGAGUCUGAAGCCCUAAAUAAGAUGAACAAGUCACCAGUUGCCAUGCUGUUUCUUUCACUCCUUCAAUACGAAAAUUUUGAAUGGAGCCAGACCACAUGCCUUCUGACCAGCACAUCCUCUCUCCUUUACUCUGUGGGAAACCAAAUCAUCAUCAAAAGAUUGCUGUGAAAAAGGUAGUUACCCCAACAUCAACACACCUUUGAGUCACUUACCUUCGAAAACUUGAUGAAGCCAUUGGUACAAUAGAGAUAUCCUGGAUGCUUAUUCAUUUGUUUGAACAAAUAUUUACUGAAUGCCUAUUUUCCAGGCACUGUUCUAGGCACUGGGAAUACAGCAGUUAACAAAAACCAUCCAAAAUCCCUGUGCUCAUGAAUUUACAUUCUAGUGGGGGAGACAUAAUAAUCAAAUGUAUUAGUGAAAUAUAGGAUAUUUAGAUGUUUAUAAGUGGCAUGGAGAAAGAAAAAGUGGGGUUGGGAAUGAGUCGUGAGAGGUGGGAGAAUUUGUUAUUUUAAAUAUGGGUGGUCAGGACAGACCUCCCAACCUGAAACAAAGACCUGAAGGACUUGAGAGUGAGCCCUGUGGAUACGCAGGGGAAGAACAUUCCAGAGCAUCAACAGGGCCUCUCACUGUUGUGGCCUCUCCCGUUGCGGAGCACAGGCUCUGGACGCGCAGGCUCAGCGGCCAUGGCUCACGGGCCCAGCCGCUCCGCGGCAUGUGGGAUCUUCCUGGACCGGGACACGAACCCGUGUCCCCUGCAUCGGCAGGCGGACUCCCAACCACUGCGCCACCAGGGAAGCCCUGUUGGGAGGACUUUGGCUUUUACUCUGAGUGAGAUGGGAGCCAAUGAAGGGUUUGAGGGGAAGAGAGCAUGAUCCGCCUCAUGUUUUGACAGGGUAACUUAGCUGCUCGCUGGGGCCAGCAAAAGCAGAAGCAGAGAGGCCAGUUAGGAGGCUUUGUGAUAAUCCAGACACACUGGGGGCCACAGUAAAGUGGAGGCAGCGGAGGCUGAGGACAGUUGGGUUGAGUCUCCUGACCAGGGCGCCACAUCCCCAGUACAGAGCUUAGCAAGCCCAGGAACAGUGUCUUCCUUGUUUCCUAUGCCCCCAUAUGGCGGAUGACGACCCCUCCUAAUUAGAUAACUGCUUACUCUAUAAUUUCACCAUCUGCCUUGCUCUGAUUUCAGGACCGUUCAUUCUCCUUAGCAUGGCUCUUCUAUUAAGCAUUGAUUUUGUAACUCAGCUCUCAGAGAACACUCUUAUUUAAGUCCCUAGGGGCCCCUCCAUCACUGUCCCCAGGUAUAAGAACCUGACUAGAGGUCUGACACAGAAAAUUGACUUCCAUGAUUCUGGGUGCAUGCAUCUGUAUUACAGCAGUAGGUUGGCUAUCCUGGUCACGGCCUGAGAAUCUUGUCUCUUUCUUGGUACCGUGCUGUCUGCCUGGUCACCAUGGUGGCUACCUCUGACCACUGCUGGUGUCUCCAACAUAGGGGUUGAGGACCCAGCGCUUGCCUCUCCAUCUACCCUGGGGAUCUCCUAACUGCCUGGUCAGGAUGCUGUCUACAUGAUAUUUGCAAACUGAAUUGACAAACUUUAACAGACUGUUCACAAUUCUUUUGGAUUCCUUCCCACUAUGCAACUAUGUGCAAACACUAGAUGCAUUGCUCUUCAUGUUUGGGCCUGCACCGUGCUCUGUGUUCUGCCCACUGGGUGCCCAGGGUGCCCCUGCAGUACCACUGUCUGUCCUUGGUGAGCCUUUUUACUGAAGCUUCCUUUGGCUCCCAUUUGUUCCUUUGUCUUUUGUUUUCGUUUUUUACCAUUGUUUGUCUUUUAAUAAAUAUCUGUAAAUGAGUUGAU
Molecule: long non-coding RNA, 3245 nt
Organism: Phocoena sinus (vaquita)
Lineage: Eukaryota; Metazoa; Chordata; Mammalia; Artiodactyla; Phocoenidae
Source: Ensembl